GACGAACGCUGGCGGCGUGCCUAAUACAUGCAAGUAGAACGCUGAAGAGAGGAGCUUGCUCUUCUUGGAUGAGUUGCGAACGGGUGAGUAACGCGUAGGUAACCUGCCUUGUAGCGGGGGAUAACUAUUGGAAACGAUAGCUAAUACCGCAUAACAAUGGAUGACACAUGUCAUUUAUUUGAAAGGGGCAAUUGCUCCACUACAAGAUGGACCUGCGUUGUAUUAGCUAGUAGGUGAGGUAACGGCUCACCUAGGCGACGAUACAUAGCCGACCUGAGAGGGUGAUCGGCCACACUGGGACUGAGACACGGCCCAGACUCCUACGGGAGGCAGCAGUAGGGAAUCUUCGGCAAUGGGGGCAACCCUGACCGAGCAACGCCGCGUGAGUGAAGAAGGUUUUCGGAUCGUAAAGCUCUGUUGUAAGUCAAGAACGAGCGUGAGAGUGGAAAGUUCACACUGUGACGGUAGCUUACCAGAAAGGGACGGCUAACUACGUGCCAGCAGCCGCGGUAAUACGUAGGUCCCGAGCGUUGUCCGGAUUUAUUGGGCGUAAAGCGAGCGCAGGCGGUUUGAUAAGUCUGAAGUUAAAGGCUGUGGCUCAACCAUAGUUCGCUUUGGAAACUGUCAAACUUGAGUGCAGAAGGGGAGAGUGGAAUUCCAUGUGUAGCGGUGAAAUGCGUAGAUAUAUGGAGGAACACCGGUGGCGAAAGCGGCUCUCUGGUCUGUAACUGACGCUGAGGCUCGAAAGCGUGGGGAGCGAACAGGAUUAGAUACCCUGGUAGUCCACGCCGUAAACGAUGAGUGCUAGGUGUUGGAUCCUUUCCGGGAUUCAGUGCCGCAGCUAACGCAUUAAGCACUCCGCCUGGGGAGUACGACCGCAAGGUUGAAACUCAAAGGAAUUGACGGGGGCCCGCACAAGCGGUGGAGCAUGUGGUUUGAUUCGAAGCAACGCGAAGAACCUUACCAGGUCUUGACAUCCCGAUGCUAUUUCUAGAGAUAGAAAGUUACUUCGGUACAUCGGUGACAGGUGGUGCAUGGUUGUCGUCAGCUCGUGUCGUGAGAUGUUGGGUUAAGUCCCGCAACGAGCACAACCCCUAUUGUUAGUUGCCAUCAUUCAGUUGGGCACUCUAGCGAGACUGCCGGUAAUAAACCGGAGGAAGGUGGGGAUGACGUCAAAUCAUCAUGCCCCUUAUGACCUGGGCUACACACGUGCUACAAUGGUUGGUACAACGAGUUGCGAGUCGGUGACGGCAAGCUAAUCUCUUAAAGCCAAUCUCAGUUCGGAUUGUAGGCUGCAACUCGCCUACAUGAAGUCGGAAUCGCUAGUAAUCGCGGAUCAGCACGCCGCGGUGAAUACGUUCCCGGGCCU
RNAcentral lists this ribosomal RNA (1369 nucleotides) under uncultured bacterium. RNAcentral's name for it is "bacterial SSU rRNA". It matches the Rfam family "Bacterial small subunit ribosomal RNA", at positions 28 to 1381 of the family's 1533-position model. The record is from RNAcentral.